This 253-nucleotide ribosomal RNA is filed under the name uncultured bacterium. Its description in RNAcentral is "partial 16S ribosomal RNA". It matches the Rfam family "Bacterial small subunit ribosomal RNA", at positions 524 to 776 of the family's 1533-position model. The record is from RNAcentral.
UACGGAGGGGGCUAGCGUUGUUCGGAAUUACUGGGCGUAAAGCGCACGUAGGCGGACCGGAAAGUCAGAGGUGAAAUCCCAGGGCUCAACCUUGGAACUGCCUUUGAAACUCCUGGUCUUGAGGUCGAGAGAGGUGAGUGGAAUUCCGAGUGUAGAGGUGAAAUUCGUAGAUAUUCGGAGGAACACCAGUGGCGAAGGCGGCUCACUGGCUCGAUACUGACGUUGAGAGACGAAAGCUAGGGGAGCGAAUGGG